Molecule: ribosomal RNA, 328 nt
Filed under: uncultured eukaryote
Lineage: Eukaryota
Description: partial 18S ribosomal RNA
Rfam family: Eukaryotic small subunit ribosomal RNA
Source: RNAcentral
CCCUUAGAUGUCCUGGGCUGCACGCGCGCUACACUGAUGUGUCCAGUAAGCACCUAACCUCUUCCGAAAGGAACGGGUAACCUUUGCAAAGCACAUCGUGAUGGGGAUAGAUUAUUGCAAUUAUUAGUCUUGAACGAGGAAUUCCUAGUAAGCACAAGUCAUCAGCUUGUGUUGAUUACGUCCCUGCCCUUUGUACACACCGCCCGUCGCUCCUACCGAUUGAAUGUUCCGGUGAAAUCUUGGGAUUUUGUUUUGUUUGCAUUUAUUUGUAUCGAGACGAGAGAACUUGAGUAAACCUUACCAUUUAGAGGAAGGUGAAGUCGUAACA